This 465-nucleotide ribosomal RNA is filed under the name uncultured Klebsiella sp. RNAcentral's name for it is "bacterial SSU rRNA". It matches the Rfam family "Bacterial small subunit ribosomal RNA", at positions 338 to 795 of the family's 1533-position model. The record is from RNAcentral. Lineage: Bacteria; Pseudomonadati; Pseudomonadota; Gammaproteobacteria; Enterobacterales; Enterobacteriaceae.
CCUACGGGAGGCUGCAGUGGGGAAUAUUGCACAAUGGGCGCAAGCCUGAUGCAGCCAUGCCGCGUGUGUGAAGAAGGCCUUCGGGUUGUAAAGCACUUUCAGCGGGGAGGAAGGCGGUGAGGUUAAUAACCUCAUCGAUUGACGUUACCCGCAGAAGAAGCACCGGCUAACUCCGUGCCAGCAGCCGCGGUAAUACGGAGGGUGCAAGCGUUAAUCGGAAUUACUGGGCGUAAAGCGCACGCAGGCGGUCUGUCAAGUCGGAUGUGAAAUCCCCGGGCUCAACCUGGGAACUGCAUUCGAAACUGGCAGGCUAGAGUCUUGUAGAGGGGGGUAGAAUUCCAGGUGGAGCGGUGAAAUGCGUAGAGAUCUGGAGGAAUACCGGUGGCGAAGGCGGCCCCCUGGACAAAGACCGACGCUCAGGUGCGAAAGCGUGGGGAGCAAACAGGAUUAGAUACCCCAGUAGUC